CCUACGGGUGGCUGCAGUGGGGAAUAUUGGACAAUGGGGGGAACCCUGAUCCAGCCAUGCCGCGUGUGUGAAGAAGGCCCUCGGGUUGUAAAGCACUUUCAGUGAGGAAGAACGCCUGGUGGUUAAUACCCAUCAGGAAAGACAUCACUCACAGAAGAAGCACCGGCUAACUCCGUGCCAGCAGCCGCGGUAAUACGGAGGGUGCGAGCGUUAAUCGGAAUUACUGGGCGUAAAGCGCGCGUAGGUGGCUUGAUAAGCCGGUUGUGAAAGCCCCGGGCUCAACCUGGGAACGGCAUCCGGAACUGUCAAGCUAGAGUGCAGGAGAGGAAGGUAGAAUUCCCGGUGUAGCGGUGAAAUGCGUAGAGAUCGGGAGGAAUACCAGUGGCGAAGGCGGCCUUCUGGACUGACACUGACACUGAGGUGAGAAAGCGUGGGUAGCAAACAGGAUUAGAUACCCGAGUAGUC
This 465-nucleotide ribosomal RNA is filed under the name Vreelandella stevensii. RNAcentral describes it as "partial 16S ribosomal RNA". It matches the Rfam family "Bacterial small subunit ribosomal RNA", at positions 338 to 795 of the family's 1533-position model. Lineage: Bacteria; Pseudomonadati; Pseudomonadota; Gammaproteobacteria; Oceanospirillales; Halomonadaceae. The record is from RNAcentral.